GACGAACGCUGGCGGCGUGCUUAACACAUGCAAGUCGAACGGAAAGGCCCUGCUUUUGUGGGGUGCUCGAGUGGCGAACGGGUGAGUAACACGUGAGUAACCUGCCCUUGACUUUGGGAUAACUUCAGGAAACUGGGGCUAAUACCGGAUAGGAGCUCCUGCUGCAUGGUGGGGGUUGGAAAGUUUCGGCGGUUGGGGAUGGACUCGCGGCUUAUCAGCUUGUUGGUGGGGUAGUGGCUUACCAAGGCUUUGACGGGUAGCCGGCCUGAGAGGGUGACCGGACACAUGGGGACUGAGAGGGGGACAAGAGCCCGAGGGGAGGCGAAAGGGGGAAAUUUUGCAAAAGGGGCGGAGGCGGGAUGCGGAAACGCGGGGGGCGGGAGGCGGCCUUUGGGUUUAAAACCCUGUUGCCCUGGUGAGGAAGCGGGGGGGGGGGAAGGGGAAAAAAAGGCCCGGGCUAGCUAGGUG
Molecule: ribosomal RNA, 468 nt
Filed under: uncultured bacterium
Lineage: Bacteria
Description: partial 16S ribosomal RNA
Rfam family: Bacterial small subunit ribosomal RNA
Source: RNAcentral